GUGAACGCUGGCGGUAGGCCUAACACAUGCAAGUCGAACGGCAGCACAGUAAGAGCUUGCUCUUACGGGUGGCGAGUGGCGGACGGGUGAGGAAUACAUCGGAAUCUACUUUUUCGUGGGGGAUAACGUAGGGAAACUUACGCUAAUACCGCAUACGACCUACGGGUGAAAGCAGGGGAUCUUCGGACCUUGCGCGAUUGAACGAGCCGAUGUCGGAUUAGCUAGUUGGCGGGGUAAAGGCCCACCAAGGCGACGAUCCGUAGCUGGUCUGAGAGGAUGAUCAGCCACACUGGAACUGAGACACGGUCCAGACUCCUACGGGAGGCAGCAGUGGGGAAUAUUGGACAAUGGGCGCAAGCCUGAUCCAGCCAUACCGCGUGGGUGAAGAAGGCCUUCGGGUUGUAAAGCCCUUUUGUUGGGAAAGAAAAGCAGCAGGUUAAUACCCCGCUGUUCUGACGGUACCCAAAGAAUAAGCACCGGCUAACUUCGU
Molecule: ribosomal RNA, 490 nt
Filed under: uncultured bacterium
Lineage: Bacteria
Description: partial 16S ribosomal RNA
Rfam family: Bacterial small subunit ribosomal RNA
Source: RNAcentral